CUGAGUGGGGAGGAGAGAGGGACAGAAAGCCUGCUUGCUUUAAAGGAGCAAAGCAGGAGAGGAGAGGUUGGCUCCUUUAAAGCAAGAAGGCUCUCUGUCCCUCUCUCCUCGGUUGGCUCCUUUAAAGCAAGAAGGCUCUCUGUCCCUCUCUCCUCCCCACUCAGC
This is a non-coding RNA of Podarcis lilfordi (Lilford's wall lizard), 165 nucleotides long. NCBI's taxonomy places the organism in Eukaryota, Metazoa, Chordata, Lepidosauria, Squamata, Lacertidae. The record is from the annotation of a GenBank genome assembly.